This 231-nucleotide unclassified non-coding RNA is filed under the name Hevea brasiliensis (rubber tree). Lineage: Eukaryota; Viridiplantae; Streptophyta; Magnoliopsida; Malpighiales; Euphorbiaceae. The record is from RNAcentral.
UCCACGUAUAUUAAUUUAUUAGAUACAGUAGUACAAACAACAAGGAGAAAAAUAGAAUCAUAAAAAACAAUCAACUGCAAUUAGAUCCACUGAGGCUAUUGGCAAAAGAUAACCCAUAAGCUGCAGACAGAUUACUAAACACUUAACAAGUUUGUCAUAACAAUGCACCAAUUCAAAGCAUAGCCAUGACCAUAUUAGGCAUUUCAAAAAAGAAACAGACACUAACUUGCG